UGUGUCACAACAGGAAGAAAAAGAACUAGUUCCUAGCACAGGGAUUGAACAGAUGUGAAGAGCACAUGACUGUCUCAAUGCCGGGAUAUGAGCUGCAGGUGGUGCCCAGGAAAGCCAGAAGUUCCCCGCACACUUCUGUGAGCCACUCACCUGUGAGGCCACAGGCCCUGAUGGCAUUUUCCACCAGCUUCCGUAAUACCUGGAGGACUUUGGCAGGCACAAUGUCCCCCUCAAUGUUCACAUCAUCCUCGUGCCACUGCCACAGGCUCUUCACAAACUGCUCUACUGCCAGCCACUGCUGCAGAGCCUCGGGGUCACGCAGAGGGCAGGGCAGCCUGGCGCCCUGCAGGGUGUAGUACCGCCAGCGCUGCUCCCGGGCCUCCCUAUACCCUGCCAGGCCUUUCACCGGCACAGUGACGAGGAACUGGCAGGGGCCUAGAACCUGGGAGAAAACAGGACAAGUGAGAGUCCACAUACUUGGGAGGCAACAGAAAGCUUCAGCAAGCUGACCCCUGAGCCAAGUCUCUGGGUUAACUCAGCGUGAACAGCUGCUCCUGCUGGUUAUAGGAUGACCCCAUCUUUGUCCUGCCACUAACCCACUGUACCCUGCAGGCAUGGAAAUUAACUCACUGAGUCCUGGCUUCUGUGAAUCUGCAAGGAAAAGGAACACACCAGUUUGAACAUGUUUAAUGGCUGAGAGAAAAGAGUCCGUGGAGAAGGAAGAGGCAGCAGAGAGCAAAACCACCGAGCAAGGAUUUCCCGGUCAGGAAGACUUAUGCAAAUCCAGAAACACCGGGAGGAAUUUACAGGAAUUUACCUCUGAGUGUCAAAAGGAAAGAAAGCCGGUGCAAAUAGAGACAGAAGGAAAUGAAAGCACAGGACUGUGAGAAAAUGCCAGCCGACAUUCCUUCCAUCUAGAGGUCCCCAAAGGAGAAAUGAUUGGAAGUCAUUUUGUUUAUGAUUUUUAUCAUCGACCCCACUGCCAUCCUAUUAUCACACCCACACCAGCAUGGCCCCGGGCUGGAGCCCCAGCCCACACCCUGUCCUCACCCCACACUGGGCACCCAGCAUGCCUCAAAGACAGGACUGAGGGGGAGUAAGUCCCUAAAGACCAGUACAGAGCUGGCCUUGGCUUCCUGGGGAGCAUUUGUGUGUGGCUGGAAGUAGCCUGAAGUUCUUUCCUGAAUCAGAAAAUAAAUACUCUCAUUCCGUGUGAUUCACACUCAACGCAAGCAAAUACAUGUAUAGCAGCUUUGCCUCAAUUUCUGCUGUGAGGAUCAAGAUACUGUUUUUUAAAGGCAGUUUAACAAGGUAUUUGAAAACUUAAAGCAUCCAGGUGAGAGAUCCUGGCAAGAUGGUGUCACCUGGUUCACCAACAGAGGAGUUACUAUUUUCCCAGUGGCCAGGAUUUUGUCCCCAGAAGGGCUGAUCCAAAUCAAUCUUAAAUAUGCAAAUUUGUUGAAGUUCACCAACGAUACAACUCUAGACUUCUCCUUUCUAGGAUUUCCUUUCAUCCUGAGGUGACUCUAAUCUUACAGCUCAGAGGACCAGACAGAGCUCCUUGUCUGUGUUAGCAAGAAACCCCCACAAUCAGCAACGAGGCAGGACCUCAUCUGCUGUCUCUCCAGUGACAGCAGCACCUAACACACAACUUACUGCAAUACAGACAGUGGUGAAUAUCUAAUUAAUGGCAUUAAACAUUAAAGUGAAAUUCCUAGAGUAAAAUAAAUUUGUGA
Talpa occidentalis (Iberian mole) is the source of this 1736-nucleotide long non-coding RNA. RefSeq lists it as uncharacterized. NCBI's taxonomy places the organism in Eukaryota, Metazoa, Chordata, Mammalia, Eulipotyphla, Talpidae. The record is from RefSeq and is a predicted model, not a curated record. The transcript has 5 exons.